This 468-nucleotide ribosomal RNA is filed under the name uncultured bacterium. RNAcentral describes it as "partial 16S ribosomal RNA". It matches the Rfam family "Bacterial small subunit ribosomal RNA", at positions 28 to 507 of the family's 1533-position model. The record is from RNAcentral.
GACGAACGCUGGCGGCGUGCUUAACACAUGCAAGUCGAACGGAAAGGCCCUGCUUUUGUGGGGUGCUCGAGUGGCGAACGGGUGAGUAACACGUGAGUAACCUGCCCUUGACUUUGGGAUAACUUCAGGAAACUGGGGCUAAUACCGGAUAGGAGCUCCUGCUGCAUGGUGGGGGUUGGAAAGUUUCGGCGGUUGGGGAUGGACUCGCGGCUUAUCAGCUUGUUGGUGGGGUAGUGGCUUACCAAGGCUUUGACGGGUAGCCGGCCUGAGAGGGUGACCGGCCACAUUGGGACUGAGAGACGGCCCAGACUCCUAAGGGAGGCAGAAGUGGGGAAUAUUGAACAAUGGGCGGAGGCCUGAUGCAGCAACGCCGCGUGCGGGAUAACGGCCUUCGGGUUAUAAACCGCUUUCGCCUGUGACGAAGCGUGAGUGAAGGUAAUGGGUAAAGAAGCAACGGCUAAAUACGUG